GGUAAGCAGCACAUUUUGUACAUUAUUUUUAAAGCUCUGAAUAACUUCAUCAAAAUCUACUGAAGGUUUCACACUCAAUACCUAAGUUCCAAAUACAUAUGGAAAGAUGUCACUAAACAUCCACUCUGGCCCAUUCAUUCAGACUCAUGUCUAAAUUUAUUCACAUUACCUAAAAUUACUUAUCUUCAGUUAAUUUAUUGGUGAUGUAUUUUCAAGUGGCUAGUCCACAUAUCUGUGUAUCAAGGUUGUAAAUUAUUAGUUACAGUACCAGGAACUACCAGAUUAUCAGUAGUUCAUUGAAUAGGAGUCCCACAAGAAUUGUUGUCACCAUAUGCAAGCCUAAUCCUGUGAUAAUGUUAGCAUAGUGGGACUAUAAUGUUCAUCUCAAUAUGAUGUGUUGCGUUUGUUGGCAGACUGCACGGGUUUCACACUGAGACCAGUAGCUGGUCUGCUGUCAUCACGGGACUUCCUGGCAGGGUUGGCUUUCCGUGUCUUCCAUUCAACACAAUAUAUCCGACAUGCCAGCUGCCCACUAUACACCCCAGAACCUGAUGUCUGCCAUGAGCUGCUAGGCCACGCACCACUCUUUGCUGACCCUGCAUUUGCACAGUUCUCACAGGAGAUUGGUCUAGCCUCCCUUGGUGCACCAGAUGAUUACAUCGAGAAGCUUGCAACAGUGAGUAUUGUAGCUAUCUAUAGGCUCCAAGUAGUAUUGCACAUUUGCUGACUAGGCUUUUAAUGAAAAAGUCACCGGCUAGAAGUAAAGUUACUAUAGUCUCUAUAUUCUAUAAGUCCUUUCAGUAUUGUCAUUAUCAAACAACUAUACAAAAAGAUUUAAAAAAAUACAUAGCCAUGUAUACAAUAUUUAAAAAGAGUACAUUUGUGCUCACUGUAAAGACAACACUCUGAGCAGCAUAGAGGCACAAUAAGAUCAUCCUAACGAAUGUUUGGCCAGUCUUAAUGAGAAAAACAAGAUAAACAAACACAUAAAUUCAUACAGUCAUAUACAUACAACUCAUGUGCAUGCAAAUGCAUUGCAUGCACGCCUUUUCUAAUGAAGGCCUGGCUGAAAGCUCAUUUGAACUUUUUGCCUGCCUGCUUCUUGUCAUGUCAUCUUAACGGUGAGUAACAAUACAUAAUUUCCACAGUAUUGUAGAUGUACCAACCUGGACUUAUAUAAUUGUUUGAUUUAACCAUAAGUAAUGCAAUGAAAUUAGGUUACAAAGGACUACCUGUCAUUUGCAACAUCCAGGUUUCUAAUAGAUAAACAUAAAUGGGAGUCAAAUGAAAACACAGUGACUGCUUUGCACCUAGACAUACAUCUCAAUAUUCUUGAGGAAAUUGUAAACAUUAUACUGACAAUUCAUACAAUACUCUAAUUGACAGAUUGGUUCAACCAUAAGUGACAUACUGGAUAUGUGGUUUCACACCUCUCUCAUGGGACACUUGACAACUACAUGAAAAAGCAAACUUUAUAAGUCACAUAAUGUACACUGCCAAAACUUCUGCGAUUUUUUCACAAAUAUAUUUUAUAUAAACUAAUUGUUUUGAAAUGCAAUAUUGUAAGACAAGGCCAGUAAUAUAUAAGAGAGAGAGAAAAGAUCGCAAGACAACCUGUCCAAAAAACUAAGGUUAUACUAGUAUCUAUUUCACAUCAUUUCUAAUUUACCUUUUGUUAGAACCUAUCUACUCUAUACAUUGUUAUUUUUCCACAAUAUUUUUUAUUUUCAUAAAAAAAUUCAGACACUACCAAUACUAUUUUUACAUUUUAUGUCAUAUAAUAGAGAUUAUCAUAAUAUUUCUGUGCAUAGCAAUUUUAACCCCAAAGGUCACGUUGUGUGGUGUAAUGUGAGAUGAAGAUACACUAUUAUCCACCUGGAUUGCGUGAUCAACAAAUCUGUAUAUUCUCAUAAAAAAUAACAAUGAACUCCUUAUAUCUGUAUUAUCACUCUGUAUUAAAUAUUUAACUUUCUGAAGUAGGGAGCAUAUGACCUUUUUGUUAGUGAAAUAUACUGCUGCAAGUGAUAACUUACAAACAGCUAAAGAACUACAGUUCAGAUUUUAUAUCAUACAUGCUAAUGAAUGCAUAUAUGUAUCUAUACUGUUUCUAUCAAUGGAAGGUUUAUAUUGGAAUUCAAUAAUAUUAUGAGAAUAGGGUGCAAAUUGCCCCACAGAUGUCAAUGAACCACAGAAAAGCAUGUAGAAAAGACAGUCACAUUUGUACAAUUUAACUUUUAGACCCAGAUUUCAUAAGAAAUGAAUGCUUACACAUUCAUAAAAUCACAGUGGCACUACUCACAUACAUGACUACCAUCUCCAGUAUAUAUAUAUUGUGAGUCAGGAUGGUGGCCAGAGAAGGCAGACAUGUAUGGAUGAGUUGUUCCUGUAUGAUUGUGUGGAGGUUUAUAGGAUCGGGUCGGAUAAGACACGAACACUCCAACUUUCAUACACUGACUUUAUUAUAACACGUUUACACUAUACAUGUCAGGCGGGAACUGGUGUUUCCGCUUCCUUACAGCAAAGACCUUUCGUAACACAGAAAGAUACUACACUCGUCCAAAGUUGUUAGGUAUCGAUUCCCACAUAGCCCCCCCCGGCAGUAUGGAGUACAUCAAAAAAAAAAAAAAAAAAAAAAAAAA
RNAcentral lists this long non-coding RNA (2639 nucleotides) under Locusta migratoria (migratory locust). RNAcentral describes it as "PAHAL". The record is from RNAcentral. Lineage: Eukaryota; Metazoa; Arthropoda; Insecta; Orthoptera; Acrididae.